This 382-nucleotide ribosomal RNA is filed under the name uncultured eukaryote. Its description in RNAcentral is "partial 18S ribosomal RNA". It matches the Rfam family "Eukaryotic small subunit ribosomal RNA", at positions 592 to 976 of the family's 1831-position model. The record is from RNAcentral.
UGUAAGCGUAUGCCAAAGUUGUUGCAGUUAAAACGCUCGUAGUCGGAAUUUGGCAGUUCCGGAUGUGUGCACGUCGUGUGCGCACUUCGUGGGGAUUGCUUUUGUGGUCUUGCGUAGGAUGAGGCACUUUUAUUAGUGAACGUCCUCACGCAACCACUUUUUACUGUGAGAAAAUCAGAGUGCUCAAAGCAGGCAUUUGCCGUGAAUGUAUUAGCAUGGAAUAAUAGAAUAGGACUUGGUUCUAUUUUGUUGGUUUGUUGGGACUGAGUAAUGAUUAAGAGGGACAGUUGGGGGCAUUUGUAUUUCGGUGCUAGAGGUGAAAUUCUUAGAUUACCGAAAGACAAACUGCUGCGAAAGCGUCUGCCAAGGAUGUUUUCAUUGA